This is a long non-coding RNA of Carassius auratus (goldfish), 2165 nucleotides long. Lineage: Eukaryota; Metazoa; Chordata; Actinopteri; Cypriniformes; Cyprinidae. The record is from Ensembl.
AUGAUUCGCUAUCCCGCUACGAACUCCCGCGAACUGACUCAAAUGAUUCGCGAUCCCGCUACGAACUCCCGAACUGACUCAAAUGAUUCGCGAUCCCGCUACGAACUCCCAAAUGAUUUGCAAACCCGCUUUGAACUCCCAAAUGAAUGGCUUAGUAGCUUAGGCUUCCAGUCUGUUUUUGCUGUGCUGCUCACGCUCAAUUAAAGUGAAAGCACACUUUUGAUGGAAAAAUAAAUAUGAUUUUACUCAAAACUUGUUCAAAAUGCACAGAAUAAGCAUGUCAAGAGUUUUAACAACAACUAGUGUUUUAACAAUUAUGCCAGAAAAGAAAAUUAAGUAUAACAUAUGUAUUUACCCAUUUAAACUUUUUAAUUAAUCGUUUUGGGUGAAACUAUACUGUACUAUAGUAUGUUUUACCGCUCACGCUUGCGAUGUGAAACGGGUUAUCAGAAAGGGUUCAUUUGGGGUUCUAUAUACAACCAUAGGGUUCUUUACUCAACUCCAAAGACCUUUUAUGCUAAAAAGGUUCUAAAAUGACAAGAAAUAACCCUUUUGGCACAAAGGUUCUUUAGGCUAUUAUUCAUAUAUUACAUUAUUCUGCAGUAUUUUGUAUUUGUAAUUAAAUUAUUGUUUGUAGUAACUUAAUAUCACAUUUUAAUCAUGCUGAUUUUUGGAGAAAAACUGAAAUGGCACUCUUCGUGUGAUAUUGAUUAACUAGCUACAUACAAUGAUAUAAAUAAAUUUUCUAACCCCCAUAUCUUGAAUUUUGUGAUCAUUCACAUGCAUUCAUAAAUGCAUUUUAAUACACCGAAUAAUGCAGUGAAAGAACGCACUCAAAAUGCACACGCGCACUAGUAUGACUUCAUCAUGUAACUUUACAUUAGCCUAGAUGCGUGCACUUUUUAGGCACGAUUUGUUUAGUUUUUGAAUAUACUUCAUACUGUUAGGUACAUCAGUAAAAACAAAAAAUACAAGUUCACAUAUCACACCUAAACACGCUUGGAAAAACGUAAUUAGAACUAGCUACUAAAUUAGUUAAAAAUGCCUAUCCAUAUACAGCUAUGCUCCAAACUCCGAAAGCCCUGCCAAAUUAGGAGGGACCUGCUAUUUCAUGGCAGCCAUAGACUGUAUAAAAACAGCUAAUCAGUAUUGUAUAACUGGAAGUCAGGUGACAGCAAGCAAAUGUUCAAUGGUGGCGCCGGCGAUACCUAGUAAACCAUACUAGAAACAUAGUUAAUCAUCUUAAACCAUGCUAGAACAUUUUCAAACUUUCUGGCUAGGCUUUUUUCAAGCCAACUUAAAAUUUGUCUACAAACUUUACUAUAUAGUCAGGAUUGUUGUCGAUUAUUCUGAUUUCAGAACAACAAAUACCAAGUUUGUUUCAAAAGUUACAGAUGCUUUAUUAAACUAAGACAAGAAUGUAUUUAAGUACUGCAGAUGUAAAACUAACUUAAAUGAUUGCAAAAUAUGAUUUUAAAUAAAGAUCACUGAUGAGAUGUUCUUUUUUUUCUUUUAGACAGGACUUUUAUUAUUUAAAUUAAGUAUGUUUAUGUGUAUUUAAUAUGAUUACGUCAUACUAGGCAUUUCUUUAUGUAUAUUUAUAUACAUUUCAUUAUUAUAUAACAUGUACACUCAUUCAUAAAUUAUAUUUAUACACAUACAAAUUCAUAAUUUCAAGUGUAGCUUAAUGGGGGUUUUUGUAUUAUGUCUAUGAUCUUCAUGACUUGAUUUAUAUUUGAUAAACCUUUUUUAAUCAUAUAAUAUAAAAUAAUUACUAAUAGAAGUUUCUCUCUUGUCUAGUGUGUAGCAAUGAAACAGACAACACCACCAUUCAACAAUGUUUUUAUUUAAAUACAACAUUAGAAACAAUUAUACAUUUUACACACCUGAUUGCAACCCGUCUCUCUUGAAAUUUCACUUUUAGAACAAAAAUGAAUAGAAAGACUGAGCCUGUCUCCUUAUCAAUCUUAAGGCGAAGGACACGUGUAGACGUUCAGAAAAGACUUUUUUAGGACAGACAUGACUGAUAUGGACAUGACAGGAAUAGGGGCAGAAGACAGAGUUCUUUCUGAGAACACUGCCUCACCCUCUUCAGCUUAUCCAAAAUGAUAAUGGUGUGUACGCUAUUUACACUGAACUUUCCCGGCAGUCUCCAUUCUAUACCU